GGAUCCAGACUUUGAUCAUGGCUCAGGAUGAACGCUAGCUACAGGCUUAACACAUGCAAGUCGAGGGGCAGCGGGAUUGAAGCUUGCUUCAAUUGCCGGCGACCGGCGCACGGGUGAGUAACGCGUAUCCAACCUUCCGUACACUCAGGGAUAGCCUUUCGAAAGAAAGAUUAAUACCUGAUAGUAUCUUAAGCACACAUGUAAUUAAGAUUAAAGAUUUAUCGGUGUACGAUGGGGAUGCGUUCCAUUAGGUAGUAGGCGGGGUAACGGCCCACCUAGCCAACGAUGGAUAGGGGUUCUGAGAGGAAGGUCCCCCACAUUGGAACUGAGACACGGUCCAAACUCCUACGGGAGGCAGCAGUGAGGAAUAUUGGUCAAUGGACGAGAGUCUGAACCAGCCAAGUAGCGUGAAGGAUGAAGGUCCUACGGAUUGUAAACUUCUUUUAUAAGGGAAUAAACCCUCCCACGUGUGGGAGCUUGUAUGUACCUUAUGAAUAAGCAUCGGCUAACUCCGUGCCAGCAGCCGCGGUAAUACGGAGGAUGCGAGCGUUAUCCGGAUUUAUUGGGUUUAAAGGGAGCGCAGACGGGUCGUUAAGUCAGCUGUGA
Molecule: ribosomal RNA, 606 nt
Filed under: uncultured Bacteroidota bacterium
Lineage: Bacteria; Pseudomonadati; Bacteroidota
Description: bacterial SSU rRNA
Rfam family: Bacterial small subunit ribosomal RNA
Source: RNAcentral